This is a long non-coding RNA of Corvus hawaiiensis (hawaiian crow), 913 nucleotides long. RefSeq lists it as uncharacterized. The record is from RefSeq and is a predicted model, not a curated record. Lineage: Eukaryota; Metazoa; Chordata; Aves; Passeriformes; Corvidae. The transcript has 4 exons.
UUUCAAGGUCUGCUCCCUGGGCUGUUCCCUGCAUCACUUGUGCCUCUGUCACUGCUGUGGGACCAGGGGAGCUGGGUGCCUCACAAGGGCUGGACACUUCCAAAGGGAAAUAGGCCUUGCUUAAGCAAAGUACUUUUGAAGAUUUGUCAUCUUUUGGGUAGAAAAUUUAAUUCGGGAAAAAGAAGAAAAUACAACAUCUAUCCACAUUGCAGCGUUGGAGUUGUACCAGGAAUGAAUCUGGACCAGCAGAUUUAUUGACCAAAACACAACAGAAGAAAUUGUUGACUUCAAUCUUUCUGCACUGAUUGAGCCACAGAACAGACUGCAGUUUUAAUGAAUAGACUGCAGUGGAAAUUUUACAGUAUUGUGCAUUCAUGUAUGGUUUAAUGGAUUCAGGCCAAUACUAAAAAGAAAGUCAGCACUCAAAUCUUCAGAGAAACUGUCACGCCAUAAAAUCUGCCUUCUUCCCACUCAGAGAUCAAAGAUUCGACUUGCCCUGGUGAGGAGGGGAUGAAGGACUGCUUUGUCUGCUGAGAGAAUUUCAACUUGGCUAUGACAGCAGAAGUGGUGGAACACCUGCCUGAACUAACCUUUAAAAACAGAAAUAAAGGACGAAGAUGGUCAACCUCUCAAGUGUUACAGAAAUGUGAAGUGACUUGAAUUCAAAACUACUUAGAUGUGUAAUGUAGCAACACAAGCUUUAAAUGCUUAUUUCUUCAAACAAUAGGAUCCAAUAAAUUAUACAGACCAGUUACUGAGGGAUGCACAUCUACAUCAGUCCCUGCAAGUUUAUGUUCCAGAAAACUGGAAACAAUCCUUUCCUACUUUUCCAGACUGUGAGUUUGUGAAUGCAGUGCAACUUUUUGUACAGACAGAUUUUUUUGUUUUCAUUAUUCAUUUAAUCAUUUAUUUA